This 465-nucleotide ribosomal RNA is filed under the name uncultured bacterium. RNAcentral's name for it is "partial 16S ribosomal RNA". It matches the Rfam family "Bacterial small subunit ribosomal RNA", at positions 28 to 507 of the family's 1533-position model. The record is from RNAcentral.
GACGAACGCUGGCGGCGUGCUUAACACAUGCAAGUCGAACGGAAAGGCCCUGCUUGCAGGGUACUCGAGUGGCGAACGGGUGAGUAACACGUGGGUGAUCUGCCCUGCACUUCGGGAUAAGCCUGGGAAACUGGGUCUAAUACCGGAUAGGAGCCAUUUUUAGUGUGAUGGUUGGAAAGUUUUUUCGGUGUAGGAUGAGCUCGCGGCCUAUCAGCUUGUUGGUGGGGUAAUGGCCUACCCGGGCGGCGACGGGUAGCCGGCCUGAGAGGGUGGACGGCCACAUUGGGACUGCGAUACGGCCCAGACGCCUACGGGUGGCAGCAGUGGGGAAUAUUGCACAAUGGGCGCCAGCCUGAUGCAGCGACGCCGCGUGUGGGAUGACGGCCUUCGGGUUGUAAACUCCUUUCGCUAGGGACGAAGCUUUUUGUGACGGUACCUAGAUAAGAAGCACCGGCUAACUACGUG